Bombus huntii is the source of this 2851-nucleotide long non-coding RNA. RefSeq lists it as uncharacterized. The transcript is spliced from 2 exons. The record is from RefSeq and is a predicted model, not a curated record. NCBI's taxonomy places the organism in Eukaryota, Metazoa, Arthropoda, Insecta, Hymenoptera, Apidae.
UAUGCGUUUGUCAAUUUUUCCGAACACCUACGCAGAAGUAAUACUAUUACGUUUGUGUGAGAUAAAUAUAAAUUCAUUCCUCAUAUAUAAUGCAUAUAUUUUAUAUCAAAAAUCUACUGCUUCGAAACAAAAAUUUAGCGAAUUUCAUUUAGCGUUGAUAAGAGACAUUUUACGAAAAUAUUUCCAACGUAGAAGCAUGUUAGGAGGAGGAAAGAGAAAGUCUGAGGAUUUACCAUUUCGUUUAAUCGAUAGGCAUUUUCCAUCAAAAUGCCCUAAUCGUGCCGGCACAACACAAUUAUCAAGAAGAAAAUGUGUCGUUUGUGUGAAAAAUAAGAGAAGGAGCGACACGCGAUACGAAUGCAAAAAAUGCGAUGUCGGAUUAUGUAUGGAUAAUUGUUUUGAAAUUUUUCACACACAACUGAAUUAUUAACUCGUGUUAUAUUUACUAAAUUUAGUUUUCUAGUUUAUCGUUUUCUAGUUUAUUACCCAAAUUCUAUUUUAAUUUAAAUUUCAAUGUUUAUAAUAAAUAAUUAAUACUAAAAAAUAACGCUCUUGAAUCAUUUAAUCUCGUGCAAAAGAAUUACUAUAACUUAUUACGAUUUGCGCUUUGAAUAGUCAAUCAACAGAGUUCAAUCUAGCGAAAAGGUACUCCGUCCACAGCGAUGGUCAGCGCUGGCCGCGAGUACCGCGAGUAGGUCAGUUGCGUUGCUUUGUAAGCUCGCAGAGUUUUAUACCAAUUUGAAAAACGUACCGUUCGCGAUGAACAAAAAGAAUAGUAUUGGUAGAAUCUUGUUAACCAAGGACAAAUGACACAGCUGCUAGUUUAAGGAUGCAAAAGAUGCACGUUUAUUCGGUAAAAUAAUGUACAAAUAAAUAGUUGUGUGUCGGGGAUGAAUACAACGCUUUUCAUCGAUCUUCCUCACCAUCGCACAUCCGAACGUGCAGUAUACACGUUCUCUAUGCUUUAAUGAGUCUCGCAAGAAUCGAUUAUCGUGUCUGUUUCCUUCGCUCGCUCGCUUUCUCACACUCUCGCUCUCUCGCUCUUUUUCUCUGUCUCUCAAGUUUUCUCAAGUACAUACUCGCAUCGGUGUUUCGUUUUAUUCAUUUAUUUCUUCUUUAUUUCUCGUUGGAAACGAAAGUGGAGGCUAUAAUAUACGUACAAAAUUCCUGUGAGAACGACGUCGUCCAUAGUAUUACGCGAAAGACUCGAUAAACGACGAUUCGUCGUCGAGCCAAGGUGUAAAGAAUUCGUCGGAUGGUCUCUUCUUUCUAUUUCCCUUUUGCUCUUCUUCUUCUUCUUUUUUUUUUUUUUUUUUUGUUCAAAUGAUUUUCACGAUAUUCGAACGAUCAAAUUGCCGUGGACGCUUAUUUUACUCGUUUUACUAUGGAUUCAUCGAACGACGUCAAUUUUCUUUAUUAUCAGUGUGGGGACGAGGGAGGAGUGUACUGUUUAUGUUCCUUACUGUACUGGAGCUUUUAGUCAUAUAUAGCGAUAACCAUUAAUAUAUGCAUAGGUCUUUUCGACACAGAUACCGAGUAUAGGGCAUACUAUUUUUUACCUUUAUUUAUUUAUUUAUUUAUUUUUUCCUUUUAAUUCGAUCGUGGCGAUGACAAUGGUAAUAACGACGAGUAACAAUAAUCGUAGCAAUAGAAGUAAUUAAAUGUAAUGAUAAGAAUAAUAGCAGUAGAACGACACUGAUUAUUAACGUUAACGAUAAUCAUAUAAUAAUAAUAAGAACAAUAAUAAGAAUAAUAAUAAUAAUAAUUGCAACAGGCGUACAAACUAGGCUAGGUGGACUUUCAUAACUGAUCCAUACAUUUAGGGAGAAUUACAACGUAAGAUCAUGCGUCUUGGAUUUACAAAAUGUUCGCUGGAUCGAUCGAUCAACCAUCAACUGCAAACCUCGUCCGCGUUUUCCGCAAAAAAACCUCAAGCACAAAAUGUAAAUUAUUCGGCAAUGUUACUUAUUUAAUUAUCAAAUUUAAAUAUAAAAACGAAUCUAAUACACGUUUAAUCGCUUUAUAUGUAAAUUUGUGAAUAUUUCUCCGAUCAAACGUAGCCAUCGUCAAACGAGAUUCUAAAAGUCUGCACUGCGAAUCGCCAUAGCGAAAGAGAAAAUUCAGUUUCGGAUGGCAGAUGGAUGGUCUGUAGUCGAGGGUUGACGAUCGAUAAAAGGAAGAGGAAAUAGAGGUGCCCCGGUUGGAGAUGCCUCCGUUUACGACCGAAUUCACAAUCAGAAAGGUAUCCCUUUUUCGCGAUGCUCAGUUCACCUUAGCAACUGUACGCUCGUGGAAAAGUAGGCCGUAUCGUAUUACACCGCUACUUCCAUCUACUUGGUAUAAAAAAGAACCGUGGAAAACAGUAGUAACCGCUGUCGAUAUAAAAAAUCGUUAUAGCGCUCUCUAUAUCGGUUAUUGAUUACGUGAUCGUCGAGAGAAAGUCUACGUACGGCCGUUGUAACAUUAUUUACGUACACUAGAAACGGGGGUGGAUUUGUGGAGAACGGGGGAUCGUUUCGUCGUAUCUUCGAUCCAAACGGAAGUCCUCGGUUCCUCGACAACGAUCGAUCGACUCUGGCCACGAAAAUCGCCACUACUGAUUUCCAUACAAAUAGAUUUCAAAAGAUCGAUUCGCAAACUAUACAUAUAUACUCGAUACGCAAGCAUUUUUCGGCAGCACCUUCUUUACGAAUAAUUUAGCGUUGGUUAUUUUCAUUGUGUUUUGUUACCCGUUUAAUAUUUAUCUUGGACUACUUCUUUUUUUUUUUUUUUUUUUUUUUUGGAACGAUGACAACGCGUCGUUCGCCAUUUCGAAUUUUCUCUUUAGUAUCGUGUGCCGCGAAUGGGCGGA